Molecule: ribosomal RNA, 253 nt
Filed under: uncultured bacterium
Lineage: Bacteria
Description: partial 16S ribosomal RNA
Rfam family: Bacterial small subunit ribosomal RNA
Source: RNAcentral
UACGUAGGUGGCAAGCGUUGUCCGGAUUUACUGGGCGUAAAGCGUGCGCAGGCGGUUCUAUAAGACAGAUGUGAAAUCCCCGGGCUCAACCUGGGAACUGCAUUUGUGACUGUAGAGCUGGAGUGCGGCAGAGGGGGAUGGAAUUCCGCGUGUAGCAGUGAAAUGCGCAGAUAUCGGGAAGAACACCAGUGGCGAAAGCGCUCUACUGGGCCAUAACUGACACUGAGGGACGAAAGCUAGGGGAGCGAAAGGG